RNAcentral lists this long non-coding RNA (1938 nucleotides) under Rattus norvegicus (Norway rat). Its description in RNAcentral is "long non-coding RNA NONRATT024581". The record is from RNAcentral. Lineage: Eukaryota; Metazoa; Chordata; Mammalia; Rodentia; Muridae.
UCUCCUGCCUGUUUAGUUAUCUCGGUGGAAAACAGGAAUUCGUUUUACAUUUUAAUCUUAAUAAAAGUCUUCCUUUCGUAGGGGUCCUCUCUCAAUUAUUGCUGGGCUAAAGAUAUCCUUUGGUGAAAACGUGUUAUACUAAAUAACUUUCAUCCGAGCUAAUUUUGAGUACUUACGGAGCUGCGGAAGUCUAUUCCAUUAAAAAGAGACGAUUUUAAUAUAGAGUUUGAUGCCAUGGUGAACAGGCCACUUAAAGAUGUGUUAAAAACCAGUGUGCGAGUGGACAUCACGAUUAUACAACAAUUAGGUGAAUUUUGAAGACUGUUUGCUUUGCAAUUGGACAUUUGUCGGCGUAGGAUAAAUGUGAUUCACAGUUAUUCACAGAUUCAAAAAAGUGCUUUGUUUCAAACAACUCGACUUGAUGUGACGAGGGUAAGCUUUGGAAAGCCAAAAUUUAUUUCUCAUGAUAAUGAAGACACUGGUGGGGCCCCAUGUGAAGGUUUGAAUACGGCUGUGUUGUAACCGACGAGCUCUGAAAAUCAUCUAAAAGCUAAUGUGAUAAUUUUCGUAAUAUGUUAUUUAAGAGUUCUAAUUAAAUAGGAUGUUACACAUUAUACAGAGCUUAUUCACCCAGCUCUCUGUUAAUAUGUUCUUAGGUGGGCUCCCACUUUCUCAUGAGGUUAACCAUUAACAUCUUUAUGUGUCCUUUAAAUUUGAGAGUAGAGAUCACUCCUAAGCACAACUCUGACAAAGUCACUAUGAAUAUAAUGGUUUUAUACCUUCUCCACGCAGCUAUGAGUUAGAUAUUCUUGUACAGCGACUUGCAAUGGUAACAUUUGUAUGCAAGAAGUUUUGUGAUUUUAUUUCAUUUAAUUUCUAUUGGCUUUGGGGCUGGGGGUGUGACUUAGUUUGUAGCGUUUUCUUAACAAGUUCAAGGCCUUGGGGUUGAUCACCAGCCCUACGUAAACUUCCUGUAGUUCGUGCAUGCCUGCAUUCCCAGCUCUGAUUGGUAGAAGCAGGAGGAUCAGGAAUUCGAGGUCAUCCUGACUACCUAGAAAAUCUGAGGCUAGCCCCAGCUCCAAGAGACAGCAUCCUAAAAGGGAAAGAAAGAAAGAAGAGGCCAGCAGUUCCUCAGUUCAUUUGGAACUUCCUCAGGAAGCGCUGUGAAGGGUCUCUGUAAGGGAGCAAGUAUGUACUUGUCUCUGGAAACUAAUUCGCAUCUAACCGGUGAAUUUUGGUUUCAGUGGGGUCCUCCAGGAGAGAAGGUGUUCCGGCCCAUGUUAACCUCUCUGCGUCCUCCAUGCUGAUGAUCGCGAUGCAGUACACCUCUAACCCAGUGUAUCAUUGUCAAUUGUUGGAAUGCCUCAUGAAGUAUAAACAAGAAGUCUGGAAAGAUCUUUUGUAUGUGAUUGCCUAUGGGCCUUCCCAGGUGAAGCCUCCCGCAGUGCAGAUGCUUUUCCACUAUUGGCCCAACCUGAAGCCUCCCGGAGCAAUAAGCGAGUACAGGGGCUUACAAUACACAGGUAAGGAAGGCAGAGCUCUGUGGCGGUCGUGUCCAUCUCCCUCAUGCCGCCCGCGCCUCGCCUCGUGUUAGAAAGACCAUCUUAGAUGGUUGACAUUGCCCUUUUCGGACACUGGGCUUCAAAAGAAGUCAGCGCAGUAGUCCAGGCUCUUAGGGGAGGCUGAGGCGGGAAGAUCACUUCAGCCCUGGCAUGUAGGGAACCAUCCUAGGCAACAUAGAAAGAUCACAUCUCUUAAGAUAAUCGAGUGUGCUGCUGCACGCAUAUGGUGAUCCCGGCACUUGAGAGGUGGAGGCAGGAGGAUCAGAAGUGCGAAGUCAGUCUUGACUACAAAUCAGGUUUGACAAAGUCACUGUGGACUGUAAGAGAACCCAUUUCAAAACAAAGCAAAACACAACCCAAAGAAAAAUAAGAAAAA